GCCAAUUUAGUUUCAAUUAGGUAAAAUGUUCUCUAGAUAGCGCAUAGAGAAAGAUGUAGGUUCAAAUCCUGUAAUUGGCA
Molecule: transfer RNA, 80 nt
Filed under: Caudoviricetes sp.
Lineage: Duplodnaviria; Heunggongvirae; Uroviricota; Caudoviricetes
Description: tRNA-Ile
Rfam family: tRNA
About the family: Transfer RNA (tRNA) molecules are approximately 80 nucleotides in length. Their secondary structure includes four short double-helical elements and three loops (D, anti-codon, and T loops).
Source: RNAcentral